This 253-nucleotide ribosomal RNA is filed under the name uncultured bacterium. RNAcentral describes it as "partial 16S ribosomal RNA". It matches the Rfam family "Bacterial small subunit ribosomal RNA", at positions 524 to 776 of the family's 1533-position model. The record is from RNAcentral.
UACAGAGGGUGCAAGCGUUGUUCGGAAUUAUUGGGCGUAAAGGGCGCGUAGGCGGUGCUGUAAGUCUGUAGUGAAAUCUCUGGGCUCAACUCAGAGUCUGCUAUAGAAACUGCAGUGCUGGAGUGUGGGAGAGGUGAGUGGAAUUCCCGGUGUAGCGGUGAAAUGCGUAGAUAUCAGGAGGAACACCGAUGGCGAAGGCAGGUCUCUGGGCUGACACUGACGCUCAUGCACGAAAGCGUGGGGAGCAAACAGG